Molecule: ribosomal RNA, 254 nt
Filed under: uncultured Actinomycetales bacterium
Lineage: Bacteria; Bacillati; Actinomycetota; Actinomycetes; Actinomycetales
Description: partial 16S ribosomal RNA
Rfam family: Bacterial small subunit ribosomal RNA
Source: RNAcentral
CUUGCAGGGUACUCGAGUGGCGAACGGGUGAGUAACACGUGAGUAACCUGCCCUUGACUUUGGGAUAACUUCAGGAAACUGGGGCUAAUACCGGAUAGGAGCUCCUGCUGCAUGGUGGGGGUUGGAAAGUUUCGGCGGUUGGGGAUGGACUCGCGGCUUAUCAGCUUGUUGGUGGGGUAGUGGCUUACCAAGGCUUUGACGGGUAGCCGGCCUGAGAGGGUGACCGGCCACAUUGGGACUGAGGUACGGCCCAG